GGGCCGCUUCAGCGGCUUGGGGGCGGUGGAGAGGGACGGGGAAAGCAGUUCGAGGCUCGGGGGAGGGGGCGGGAGGCGGCCGGUGUCGCGGAGUUGGGGAGUGGUGUGAAGGUCAGUGCCAUCGCUUGCCCAGGGUGGGGGCGUCGUCGGUGUGGCCCGACCGUACGCUCUGCUGCGCGCCCAGGUGGGCGAACAGCAAAGUUUAGGCUGUUUUGCGCAGAUCAGGGGGCAACGGGAAAGUUGGCAGCUGCGUUUGCCCGGGAGAAGGGGGUGUUGGCCACAGCUUUUGGGCAGGAAGAGUUAAGCCGCGGCCCUUGCCAAAGACAACUUCGGUGGUGCGGCGGGAGCUAUCCCCCUGUCCUUCAGCGAGUUGCCGGCGUGACUUUUCCUAAUAGGACGGGGUGGGGGUGGGGGCUUAGCAGGUUAAUUUAGUGGAAGGAGGAGAAACUUGCAGAAAGGCUUGAUCACCCCUGCUGUGUUCCCAGGAGGUUCCUCCCCGCAUUGCCACCCUCCAGUCUGAUGCGGAGGCACUACGCAGAGCGUUCAAGCUUCCUUUCCCUGGCUUCUGAUAACCAGUUUUUCAGUUGAAGACUCAUUAAAUAUCAAGGGUCCGUCACAAUGAUAUCACAAUGUGACUUGAGGCCAGAGUCAAAGCAGGAGCCUGCAGGAUGCCCUGCAAACAGCCACAGCCCUUUACUGAAAGGAGGGAAUAAAUCCCACCCUGCUUAAAACGAUGGCUUCUGUUUGGACCAGAAGUGCGGGAGUCACAAUGUAGAAGUGAGAUGUCUUACAGUUUUGCAGCUUUCAGUAUUUGGAAUCCCUUUGGGGACAGAAAGUAGUGAAACAGCCAGUAAGGGAGGACUCACACCAAUAUUAGAAGAUUCACUUUCUAGUUGACCUUUCACUUUCCUGCGGGUGGUUGAUUACUUAAUGGUAGAUGGUUUGUCGCAUUAAUGGAUGGCAAAGUGAACCCCUGUUUGAGUGGGUCAGUUGCCAUCCAUGAGUCAGAGACGUGCACUUUGUAUCAGACCCUAUCCAGACUUUGCUGUUUGCUGUGUUUCAUUCAUGGGCCUGGGAACCACUCAUUAUAUUCUCCCUGUCCAUAAUUCAGAAUGCUUUAUUCUACUGCCAUCUUCCUGUCUGUACUAUUUAAUUAGGCUUAAUGAUGAUAACAUUAAUUCUGAAUUUUCUUUCUCAUUCAGGUUCUAUUUGUAAUUACUAGGGCUCCAAGAGUAGUCUAGUACAGUUACUAAGAAAAAUAAGGGAGAUUUGAGCUGAAAGGAACCCUGGAGACCAUCUGGUACUUUGGUGUAGAACAUUUCUAAUACAAAUCCUUAAAUCCUUUCCGAUGAGUAUUCCAAGGCUUUUUUCUUUGUUUGAGGUAGAACGCUUGGAGCUUCCCUGUUUGCAGGAUUUUAAAUGUGAAGUUGCCUUUAAAUUAAAACAAAACAAAACAUUCCCCACAACAAGGCUGAGUCACCCAUUUGGUCAAGAUUAUUGCCAGCUGAUUUGGUGAACCUGUGCCCACAGAAUUAAAGUACAUUCUCAAGUCUUAAAACUGGGGCCUUUUCUCCUUGGCAUAUGCUGCUCUUGAUAUGAAUAUUUGCAAAUUGUCACAUUUGGAAGGGCAGUGGAAAAGUCCCAGAGAGGAGAACAAAAAAGAAGCAGUGCUUCAACUUUCAGGUCGGAAAUUGGAUUUCUAAUCCUUUCCUAUCUAUCUUCUGGAUUUUCAGAGUCUGUGCUGGAGACAGUUUAGCAAUGUAUUAUUUUAGUUAAUAUGUUAAUCACUCCUUGGAGCCUUAUCUAGCAGCCUUUAACAAGCAGAAUAGAAACUACAGCAUUUAAAGUCAACAAGAAAUUAGGUCCUAGAAAUUCGAGGUGCUUUUCAGGUUUAAAAUAGACUCUAUUUAUUCCAGAACUUUUGAAGGAUAGUUGUAGAAUUCUUUAGUGUCUUCAAUCAGUACAUGGUAUAGUGGAAAGUACAUUUAUCUUUGUACUUAAUCCUUUUGAGUAUGUGAACAUGUAUGUCUAGUUCUCCUGUAGGCCUGGGUGUUCUGGUGCAGAGUAUUUCAUUACUCAUAGAGUUUAUGAUUACAGGAUUCAUUAAGUUUGGUGUGGGCUUUUGCUGCACAUUUAUUACCUUUUAAUAAAAUCUUUACCACUUACACUUUCUCCUAUAGCUCUGUGUAUGCAGGGAGAUGUGAGAGCUUAACAACAACAAAAAGUCAGUAAUUUGGGACCACAUAUCUUUCUGUUAAAAUAUUGUCAAUAAUUUCACCAUCUAAAAGGGGGCAAACGUAGUUUUUGUUUUGUCCUUUUGGUUUUCAAUACCCAUCUAGUUCAGUAAGGCUUUUUCUACUGUUCAUGUUUUCUGUCAAAACUUGCUGCUGGUAUGGCUCAUUUUGGGGGGGGGGGGGGAUCCUGCUCUCUGCCUGCUAAUAUAAUAAUGAAUUUAUUUGAUGACCAUCCUGUGUUAACCUGUCAAGGUAACUCACUACUGUAACCCAUUUAACAUGCAUUUCUCCAGAAAGGGCUUAAAAGGAAGGACUUUAUUGCCAAGAAUUUCCAUUUGGCUCAGAAGAUAUUUUUGGUCUUGCCCUUGGUAGGGACUGGUGACUGUUAUGCUGAAGACUACAUAUCAAGUCUGACUUUGGAUCUUUUUUAUGGGGAGAGAAAUGUGCUGGUCUAGUCUUCAGGAUUGGUUUGGCAGUAACUAUUAUGUCCUGUUAGGUAGGUACAAGUGAAACUCUUAGGAAGUAGUGAUUUAUAUAUCACCAGAAAAUAAACAGAUGAAAAGAAGAUAGCAACUCUCUAGGUCUUUUGAUAGAUAUACCAGAUUAGGGCAAGUAAUUACAUGAUGACUGCCUAGUUUUAUUUAUCCUCAUUUGCAUGCAGGGUUGGGGUAUUUUGGAAUAAUUUAAAUUUAUGUUAAGGAAUGGAAAUGCAAGGCUCACCCUCAGGAUCUGAUUAAUGAGGGCUGAGGUUAGGCCUAGGAAUCUACACUUCAUUUUAAGAACACUAGAAAGCUCACCAGAAGGGAGGUUUUGAGAAGUUUAUUAGAUAAGAAAAUUCUGAAUUUGGGAGCAUACUGAUAGAGAAGAUUUUUUUUUUUUACAACCAUAUGUGUGUGUUUUUAAAUGCUUUCUAGUUUGUUGUAUGGCCAGAAGUAAAUCUCCAGAGGAUGGAAAAGCAUUGAAAUUUUGAAGUUGCAGCACUGAAAGCAAUUUAAACAGUUUUAUUUUUUUCCCAGAGCCUCCAAGAAUCACUUUAGUCCUCAGCCUGAUGCAUAACUAAACAAGGGGGACUUUGCUAUUUUACAAAACUAUAUUUGUUUUUGUUUGCAGAUUGGCAUCCAUGUGAGAGUAUCUCCCAGCUUCCAAAAUGGGAAGCCUGGACAACAAACUAGAUAUUCAUGGAUUGUAAGGCAGUAUAAAAUUGUGAUUUCAUCUUUUUAAUCUUACAAAUAACAGUUAUCUUAUAGGUAUACAUUUCUUUUUAAAAGCUUAGCAUUUAUCAAAAUGUGAGCUGAGCACAUUUUACUCAUAUAUAUUAUUCCUUUGUUCUGUAAUUAGCACUAAAAAUAGAAGGUAAUAGUUUCUCUGUAUGAUGAGCUAGAAGUUAAAUUCUGCUUAUAUCCUUCUGUCUUAAGUUUUUAUGUCAGUUAAGGGAAGCAGGGAUAUAUAGGAUUCAAAUGUUAACAUCAUUUAGUAAUAUAAAUGGUUGUACCUUAUUAGUAUAAACAGUUGAGGGUAUAACUAGAAACCAGUCCAGUUUUUAACUGGAAAGCAGAGGUGGAAAAGUUCUUUGCUUUACGUAACAACU
RNAcentral lists this long non-coding RNA (3822 nucleotides) under Sus scrofa (pig). RNAcentral's name for it is "lncRNA (ENSSSCG00005016314.1)". The record is from RNAcentral. Lineage: Eukaryota; Metazoa; Chordata; Mammalia; Artiodactyla; Suidae.